This 549-nucleotide ribosomal RNA is filed under the name Bifidobacterium longum subsp. infantis. Its description in RNAcentral is "bacterial SSU rRNA". It matches the Rfam family "Bacterial small subunit ribosomal RNA", at positions 146 to 710 of the family's 1533-position model. The record is from RNAcentral. Lineage: Bacteria; Bacillati; Actinomycetota; Actinomycetes; Bifidobacteriales; Bifidobacteriaceae. RNAcentral also lists the same sequence under 1 other name.
UCUCCUGGAAACGGGUGGUAAUGCCGGAUGUUCCAGUUGAUCGCAUGGUCUUCUGGGAAAGCUUUCGCGGUAUGGGAUGGGGUCGCGUCCUAUCAGCUUGACGGCGGGGUAACGGCCCACCGUGGCUUCGACGGGUAGCCGGCCUGAGAGGGCGACCGGCCACAUUGGGACUGAGAUACGGCCCAGACUCCUACGGGAGGCAGCAGUGGGGAAUAUUGCACAAUGGGCGCAAGCCUGAUGCAGCGACGCCGCGUGAGGGAUGGAGGCCUUCGGGUUGUAAACCUCUUUUAUCGGGGAGCAAGCGUGAGUGAGUUUACCCGUUGAAUAAGCACCGGCUAACUACGUGCCAGCAGCCGCGGUAAUACGUAGGGUGCAAGCGUUAUCCGGAAUUAUUGGGCGUAAAGGGCUCGUAGGCGGUUCGUCGCGUCCGGUGUGAAAGUCCAUCGCUUAACGGUGGAUCCGCGCCGGGUACGGGCGGGCUUGAGUGCGGUAGGGGAGACUGGAAUUCCCGGUGUAACGGUGGAAUGUGUAGAUAUCGGGAAGAACACC